RNAcentral lists this unclassified non-coding RNA (390 nucleotides) under soil metagenome. Its description in RNAcentral is "partial contains 5.8S ribosomal RNA, internal transcribed spacer 2, and large subunit ribosomal RNA". The stretch from base 1 to 120 matches the Rfam family "5.8S ribosomal RNA", at positions 35 to 154 of the family's 154-position model. The record is from RNAcentral.
GAUGAAGAACGCAGCGAAAUGCGAUACGUAGUGUGAAUUGCAGGUUUAUGUGAAUCAUCGAAUCUUCGAACACAAAUUGUACUUCUCAGUAGUCUGGGGAGUAUGCCUGGUUGAGGGUCAUUUAAAUAACAAUCGCGAAUUUUCGCGGAUCUGGGUUCUUCCGGUGUUUUUUUUUUUUUAAAUACGCUGGUGACCUUAAAAUAAUUUUUUUUUUCGGUACAAGUCAAAACGUGCUAUGUGACGUGGUUCGUUGAAAACUUGACCUCAUAACAUAUAUUAUGUUUGCGUUGAUCUCAUUGGAGUGAUCGAUGUUAAAUAUAUAUAUUUUUUUUAUGACCUCAACUCAAGCAAGGAUACCCGCUGAACUUAAGCAUAUCAAUAAGCGGAGGA